GCUUUCUUCAGUGGCUGUAAGGUCUAUGCAAGGAGAGAUCUUGCUGAAAAGAUGGCUAAGGAUAUAUUACAGAUGGACCUGAAGAAGCCUGAAGGUCUUGUAGCCCUUUCAAACAUUUAUGCUGCUGAGGGAGAGUGGGAUAAUGUUGAGAAUGUGAGGAACAUGAUGAAGGACAAAGGAUUCAAUAAGAUGCCUGGUUCCAGUUGGUUGUAG
This 213-nucleotide unclassified non-coding RNA is filed under the name Hevea brasiliensis (rubber tree). The record is from RNAcentral. Lineage: Eukaryota; Viridiplantae; Streptophyta; Magnoliopsida; Malpighiales; Euphorbiaceae.